GAAUUGAGACACCCACAUGCUGAAAUACUACUCCUCGGAAUUCUUUGCACCUUUCUAGUUUGUCUUUUAAAUAUUUGUGACAUACUUAUUGACAUUUCUAUUGUCUUAUGCUGCGGCGGCCCUCAUUUCAUGGUUCUUUAACUGAUUUUUUAAUUGUAUUGUUAUUCUGGUCUCCUUGUGUAAUUGGUGUCACUUAUCAGUUUUAUUAAUUAUUAGGUGAUACAGGUCAGAACCAUCCAGCUGGGGUAUGGCAAAAUGAUAGAUCUAUCAUUGAGGUACGUUUCUGUUGGAAUAAUCCUGAUUAAAAGUGGUCGUGCUGAACAAGAUGGUGUGUGCUUUAAAUGUCUAUGCCUCCAUUUGCUAGAUUGAGUGUGAAUAAGGGUGUAGCCAAUCUGACCAUAAUAGGUUCAGGAUCAAUGAGCAAUUGAUUGUUAUUGUCGUAGCAAAUUGUCUCAUGGGACCCUUCAUGAUGUGCAUUUACUAACUAUUUGCAAUCUUUAGGUUUCCCUUUAUCUCAGGGAAUUUCCUUUUUCUUUUAUAGCCACUCAAGCAACUUGGACACAUGAAUGUUUUGAGGCCAUUGAUGCUGACCUUCACGUGAAGUAAAAGGCUCUUCAGUGCCAUUCGUAAAGAGAUGUUGCAUUCAGCAUCAUUGUUUUUUGGCUGGUAAACCGCCUCUAUAGUGUCACUUUCCUAUUAAGUUUGAACCAUUCUGCAUAUCAUUUUACCAAAUGGAGCACAUAGAGAGUUUAGGAUAUACUAUUAAUCUAGUUAUAUUACCUAUUGAAACAGAAGUGGAGAUGAUAUUACAUCCUUUGGGUAAAGCUCUCUCCACCUGCUGCCUCUUAUUACAAUCAAUAAUUACAGAGUAUAAUUUUGCCUAAAUGAGCCCUUAAAGAGCAAAUUAAUAGUGAGAUAGGCCCCAGGAUAAAAAAAGAUGCUGGGUCGAGUUUCACUUGAAACAUGAAACUAGGUCAGGAGGUAUCUUCUGUUUUUCCGUUAUUCUCAUUGCUAUUAAUUUAUAUUAGUGGGCAUC
This 1036-nucleotide long non-coding RNA is filed under the name Nicotiana tabacum (common tobacco). Its description in RNAcentral is "long non-coding RNA (NTAB_LNC006956)". Lineage: Eukaryota; Viridiplantae; Streptophyta; Magnoliopsida; Solanales; Solanaceae. The record is from RNAcentral.